This 446-nucleotide ribosomal RNA is filed under the name uncultured bacterium. RNAcentral describes it as "bacterial SSU rRNA". It matches the Rfam family "Bacterial small subunit ribosomal RNA", at positions 329 to 792 of the family's 1533-position model. The record is from RNAcentral.
GGCCAGACUCCUACGGGAGGCAGCAGUGGGGAAUAUUGCACAAUGGGGGAAACCCUGAUGCAGCGACGCCGCGUGAGUGAAGAAGUAUUUCGGUAUGUAAAGCUCUAUCAGCAGGAAAGAAAAUGACGGUACCUGACUAAGAAGCCCCGGCUAACUACGUGCCAGCAGCCGCGGUAAUACGUAGGGGGCAAGCGUCAUCCGGAUUUACUGGGUGUAAAGGGAGCGUAGACGGUGAAGCAAGUCUGAAGUGAAAGGCGGGGGCUCAACCCCCGGACUGCUUUGGAAACUGUUUGACUGGAGUGCAGGAGAGGUAAGUGGAAUUCCUAGUGUAGCGGUGAAAUGCGUAGAUAUUAGGAGGAACACCAGUGGCGAAGGCGGCUUACUGGACUGUAACUGACGUUGAGGCUCGAAAGCGUGGGGAGCAAACAGGAUUAGAUACCCCCGUA